ACUAGAUCGACGGGSCUUGRUCCCGCAAAAUUUUAAUUAACAACUAAACACCCUAUCCAGCGGGCUUCAAUCUA
RNAcentral lists this transfer RNA (74 nucleotides) under Phelsuma lineata (striped day gecko). RNAcentral's name for it is "tRNA-Asn". Lineage: Eukaryota; Metazoa; Chordata; Lepidosauria; Squamata; Gekkonidae. The record is from RNAcentral.